This 1390-nucleotide long non-coding RNA is filed under the name Mytilus galloprovincialis (Mediterranean mussel). Lineage: Eukaryota; Metazoa; Mollusca; Bivalvia; Mytilida; Mytilidae. The record is from RNAcentral.
AAAAAACAAGAAAAUGUUACUGUUAUGUUUUACUUUGGUGCUUGUGGCAUUCCUAAUGUUUGCAACUUCAUUUGCAACUCCCUAUUUUAUCGAAAUAAACUAUUCAACUGGAGUACACAAUGCUGGCUUAUGGAAGUACUGCAAACCUGUAAAUGGUAAAACGACAUGCAUAAACACAGAAAUUGAAGUGGACUUCCGUAAGUAUUCAACAAUUGUUAGGUUUUUUUUCUAAGCUCUAAUACAUCCAGAUUUCUAACUAUGUUGAUCUAUCGCCAACGAUGAGUCCUGUGAAGUUCAAAGUAACGUUAUGCAAUUCUUGCGGGACCGAAUUAUAUUUAAAAUUCGGUUUAAACAUAUGUAUUUAAAGAGGAUCGGGAAACCAGUUAUUGCAACUUAUGUUAAUUCCUCUCCACUUUUUCUGGUACGAGUGCUGGUGCCAGUGCUGCCUUGUAGCCGCAUUAGCCUGCUCUUUCUCGAAAUCUCUCUUAACACGGGCCAGCCAUUUAUCGUCCCCUUCCGACGGACUAUCAUCAUUUCUCAAGACCAUACAUGCAAAUUGUGUCAAUUGCAUGAAUUUUAUGUAGAUGAAACGACAGUCUAGCUUACGGAAUUUUACCAACUUGUUUCGAAUAAUUUAACAUCUCAUACACAGUAUAUCUACAAAAAAAUUAACCUUCCAAGUAUGUAUACUCUAUUUCAGAACGUUGAAACACUCCGAAGCAAAAAUUCCACAAAAAAAGCUUUUUGCUUUUUUUAAGGAUACAAGGUGAUUCAUAAAACUUUUAAAAAAAUGAAUAAAACGUUCAUGUUUGACUUGAUUGAAAUAGUUACAAGAGAGACAUACGGUUCCUUACAGAUGUUCAAACUUCAUUAAUCCAUAAAAUAAAUAUACAACUGACGGUAUCGCAUGAACUCCAAAUAGAAAGAGAUAGCUAGGACAUUUAGUCAAACACAAUCAUGAAUAUAUCGAAAAAUGAAAAUUGCAAAUCAGACAAAAUGUUGAGGGUUUAAAAAACGACUGUAGUAAGCUAAUCCUAUGGAAGUUGAUUUUUUUUUUAUCACAAAAGAAAAAUACUAUUUUGCAAAGAAAUCAAUUGCAUCACUGAUAAAAUGAUAAUUUAUCGUAUUCAUUACCCGAACGACUCAAAUGACCUACAAAAUUCUGCAGUUAAGUUAUCAAAACUCUGUUUUAACAGAGGGAUGUUUAUACAUAACGUGAAGGGCUAGAUCUACAAAAUUGAAAACAAUUAGUUUAAAUAAUGUUAUCCUCUCUCUCUCGUUUUGAAAGCGUAUGUGAAAGUUUGUCAAGCGAAGUCUAUAAUGGCUCUAGUGUACGGCAUAGUUGGUGUGGUAUCAAUAGGUUUGAGACUGUUCUGUUUCCAAGAGAGAA